GAUGAACGCUGGCGGCGUGCCUAAUACAUGCAAGUCGAGCGAACAGACGAGGAGCUUGCUCCUCUGACGUUAGCGGCGGACGGGUGAGUAACACGUGGAUAACCUACCUAUAAGACUGGGAUAACCUCGGGAAACCGGAGCUAAUACCGGAUAAUAUAUUGAAUCGCAUGGUUCAAUAGUGAAAGACGGUUUUGCUGUCACUUAUAGAUGGAUCCGCGCCGCAUUAGCUAGUUGGUAAGGUAACGGCUUACCAAGGCAACGAUGCGUAGCCGACCUGAGAGGGUGAUCGGCCACACUGGAACUGAGACACGGUCCAGACUCCUACGGGAGGCAGCAGUAGGGAAUCUUCCGCAAAGGGCGAAAGCCUGACGGAGCAACGCCGCGUGAGUGAUGAAGGUCUUCGGAUCGUAAAACUCUGUUAUUAGGGAAGAACAAAUGUGUAAGUAACUAUGCACGUCUUGACGGUACCUAAUCAGAAAGCCACGGCUAACUACGUG
This 497-nucleotide ribosomal RNA is filed under the name uncultured bacterium. RNAcentral's name for it is "partial 16S ribosomal RNA". It matches the Rfam family "Bacterial small subunit ribosomal RNA", at positions 28 to 507 of the family's 1533-position model. The record is from RNAcentral.